RNAcentral lists this ribosomal RNA (663 nucleotides) under uncultured archaeon. Its description in RNAcentral is "bacterial SSU rRNA". It matches the Rfam family "Archaeal small subunit ribosomal RNA", at positions 64 to 713 of the family's 1478-position model. The record is from RNAcentral.
GGGUACACCUAAAUAUUCCAUGGCGAACUGCUCAGUAACACAUGAUCAACUUGCCCUAUAGAGAAAAAUAACCUCGGGAAACUGAGGAUAAUAUUUCAUAGUUGAAAAGGCUUGGAAAAGUUUUUCAAUGAAAGGGGUAAAAUAAAUGGUUUUUAUCUGCUAUAGGAUAGGAUCGUGGUCGAUUAUGGUUGUUGGUGAGGUAACGGCUCACCAAGCCGAUAAUCGAUAGGGGCCGUGAGAGCGGGAGCCCCGAGAUGGGUACUGAGACAACGACCCAGGCCUUACGAGGCGCAGCAGGCGCGGAACCUCCGCAAUACACGAGAGUGUGACGGGGUUACCCAAAGUGUUCAAUAGAACUGUGGUAGGUGAGUAAUGUUCCCUACUAAAAAGGAGAGGGCAAGGCUGGUGCCAGCCGCCGCGGUAAAACCAGCUCUUCAAGUGGUCGGGAUAAUUAUUGGGCUUAAAGUGUCCGUAGCCGGUUUAGUUAGUUCCUGGUAAAAUCGGGUAGCUUAACUAUCUGCAUGCUAGGAAUACUGCUAUACUAGAGGGCGGGAGAGGUCUGAGGUACUACAGGGGUAGGGGUGAAAUCUUAUAAUCCUUGUAGGACCACCAGUGGCGAAGGCGUCAGACUGGAACGCGCCUGACGGUGAGGGACGAAAGCCA